UUUCAUCAUGUCGACCAAGUGGCCUCCACUACCAGAAUGCUUAUGAUAUCCUCCAUAAACAUGACCAGUAAUAUAAUGGUGGUGAUGAUGAUGGUGAUGACCUCCAUUUGAACCGUUUUGACCUCCUUGCUUCUCCUCUGACUGGUUAGCAUUUUGCUGACCCGGUUGUGCUAGUGUUUCGCUGCGACCUUCGUGUUUUUGGGCAGCAUCAACAACAGGCUCUUUCGGCCUGCUUUCGUCUUUUUGGACGAAAUGAAGCUUAUCCUCAACGCUUUUAUCAUUUUUAUCGGAUACAUGAGGUUCAUAGUCAUGAGGAGUGCUAUGACUUUCUCUUUUUUGAGAAGUAUCCCUCAAAUUCUCAUGGUGAGUGUUGGGGCUUGUUGCUUCAGAAGUAGAAUUUACGGAAGAGGAUGUAUCAAGAGCGGGAUUAUGUUUAAAAAAAUUGCGAGGUUGUAAAAAAAGGUGAAUAGACUCGGCAGGCAUAAUUGGAAAAUCUUCCGGAGCUGGAAAAUGGAUCAUACCAAAAGUGUGCCAAACGACGAUAUCGGUAUUCUUAAUUUGUGCAUUUGGAUCAUCGGAUAUCCAUUUAGAUAACCCCUUAGGCGUAUCAUCAGAGGCUUGGGGAGCAUAAUCACCAGUUGGGAAGAUUUGGUCGUCCAUGUAAGGAGUUACGUAAAUAUUAUUUUCAGCAAAACCUGAACAAUCAGAAUUCGUAGUACCGGGUUGCGAGAGUACAGGCGAUGUGUCUCGAGAAAUAAGCUUAUAUGAUACAGGUUUCCCAGAAUACGGAUGUAACUUAUUCAAAUUACAGAUAUCCCAGGUCCUACCGGUAGAUGAAUCAUAGUUGCUGAUUGCUUCAGUUACUGUCUCUGGAAUAAUAUAUUUUGAUACUAGAGUACCAUUCUUAUCCCUUAAUGCAUCCACUGUAGCAACUGAAUUCCUUAAACCAUCAAGCAUUGGGUUGAUUCGAAGGCAAAAUAAGUGCUCAUGAUUUUCAGCGCUGAUCUUUGGAUAUACUUGUGUUCCAUGACCUUUUAAGUCUUCAUCUUCAUUUAUGGCGUUCGUAUUCAAAAUUCCAGUUAGUCUGAUUUCACAUUCGAUAACUCCAUCCAUGCGGAAAAUCCAGUAAACAAGGUAUUCAUAGUUGGCAGCAGUAAAUACUUGUGAGACUACCAACUUAAUACUUCUAGCUGAAAUAUUUGCAUUGCGAUCCCUGAGAUCAGAAUACUUAAAAAGCACACCGUCAUCCUCUUCAUGGAUGCUAAUUGCAUUUUUUAUAGUUGUUAUUUCACCACGAUAAUUAACAAAAUCAGCAUCCAUGUAAUGAAUAACACCUUCACAACCGCAAGUAAAAGACAAAGGAUUUGUUCGGUAUCCUACACCAUAUUCCCCUAAAUCAUAUGCAUGCUUUCGGUGAUGCGAAUGUCCUUUUGCCCCAAAAGGAACCGCCAUUUCAGUAAGCGAAAUUCGAUAAAAAAGAGGGCGAAGGUGCCCAUCCUCAUUAAAAACUACGUCUGACAAAACAAUUCCCUCUCUAUAGUUGAACCCAAUGUGAAAACAAAAGUUCUGCCAUUCGAUAUAGCGUCCUUUAAUACGAAAAUUUACACCCUCUGGCUGAGUAAUACGGAGUGGUUUAAGCAUUUUCAUAGCUUCCAUCUCCUGCUCAAGCUUUUUCAAAUUGUUAUCCGAAUUUACAUCUUGAGGAAUAGGACGUCUUACUUUGGGAAUAUCAAUAGCUAUCACCUUUUUCUGAUCAACAUCAAUUAUAGGACAAAAAUCCAGCGGAAUGGAACGAAGAUGACCACUGUCGCCGGGUUUAUAAUACAUUAAAGCUUGCUGAAGCCUCCGACCAGAACCGUAGCGCUCGUCAUAACCAAUGGUCCAAGGGUCGCAAUAGACGUUAGACAAUCCACUUUCAGGAACGCCGCAUAUUUUGCAUUGCUCGAUUACAUUUGCAUCAUUUCUUACAAUUUCAUCAGUAAUGGCUAGUAGAUCCGCUGUAAUUAUUGGGCAAGUAUCAACGGAAUGCUCCCAUUUCUCUAUUUUUCCAGUAGUAAGGUUGACAAUUCCUUCAAAUACUCCAGGAACUUCUUUUUCUAGUACAAUCACGUAAGCCCUUCUGUCGGGUAUACCUUCAUGAGCAGAAGAAUAUCUCCAAUGAACGUACUCUUCCUUAUGUGGUUCACUUAGCGUAACUACAUCAAAAGAAAUUUGUUUUUCAGGAUAGCUUUUCCGAACGAGGUUUACUACGUAUCUUAAUUCAUUAAAGCUCAAUGGGUCCAAUGGAUCAAAGUACUCUGCAGCUUUACUUUCUUCUGCCAUUUUGUUCAAUUGAACUCAAAUAAAAUAAAAUUGUCUUCAAAUUCUGAUAAUUCGUUAAAUAAUUAGUCUUCUUGAUAGUUUCACCGAAUACUGCCUUGCUAUAAUAUGAAAUGUUGUGCCAACAUUUAGCGGAUACCCUCACUAC
RNAcentral lists this long non-coding RNA (2467 nucleotides) under Schizosaccharomyces pombe (fission yeast). The record is from RNAcentral. Lineage: Eukaryota; Fungi; Ascomycota; Schizosaccharomycetes; Schizosaccharomycetales; Schizosaccharomycetaceae.